AUGAACGCUGGCGGCGUGCCUAAUACCUGCAAGUCGAGCGAACAGACGAGGAGCUUGCUCCUCUGACGUUAGCGGCGGACGGGUGAGUAACACGUGGAUAACCUACCUAUAAGACUGGGAUAACUUCGGGAAACCGGAGCUAAUACCGGAUAAUAUAUUGAACCGCAUGGUUCAAUAGUGAAAGACGGUUUUGCUGUCACUUAUAGAUGGAUCCGCGCCGCAUUAGCUAGUUGGUAAGGUAACGGCUUACCAAGGCAACGAUGCGUAGCCGACCUGAGAGGGUGAUCGGCCACACUGGAACUGGGACACGGUCCAGACUCCUACGGGAGGCAGCAGUAGGGAAUCGUCCGCAAUGGGCGAAAGCCUGACGGAGCAACGCCGCGUGAGUGAUGAAGGUCUUCGGAUCGUAAAACUCUGUUAUUAGGGAAGAACAAAUGUGUAAGUAACUAUGCACGUCUUGACGGUACCUAAUCAGAAAGCCACGGCUAACUACGUG
RNAcentral lists this ribosomal RNA (496 nucleotides) under uncultured bacterium. RNAcentral describes it as "partial 16S ribosomal RNA". It matches the Rfam family "Bacterial small subunit ribosomal RNA", at positions 29 to 507 of the family's 1533-position model. The record is from RNAcentral.